Solanum tuberosum (potato) is the source of this 1781-nucleotide long non-coding RNA. RefSeq lists it as uncharacterized. The record is from RefSeq and is a predicted model, not a curated record. Lineage: Eukaryota; Viridiplantae; Streptophyta; Magnoliopsida; Solanales; Solanaceae. The transcript has 2 exons.
GGGAUAAUGAGUCAAGCCAGAAAAGCAAGAAAUAGAUCCAGUAAAUCAAUAAACAGGUUUAGUUAUUGCUAUCAAUCUAUGAGCACAUGGACAUAUAUAUAAGAAAAAGUAAAUCAAUAAACAGGUUUAGUUAUUGCUAUCAAUCUAUGAGCACAUGGACAUAUAUAUAAGAAAAAGUAAAUCAAUAAACAGGUUUAGUUAUUGCUAUCAAUCUAUGAGCACAUGGACAUAUAUAUAAGAAAAAGUAAAUCAAUAAACAGGUUUAGUUAUUGCUAUCAAUCUAUGAGCACAUGGGCAUAUAUAUAAGAAAAAGUAGCUCCCCAAUUAUUUCUUUUAGUACCAGGCACCCCAUGUAUUAUUGCAUUAGCUUCUACUAGAGGCGGAUCUAGAAUUUGAAGGUUGCGGGUGCCACUGCAUUUAAUAUAAACUUGGUGAUGGAUAUUGAAUUUGGGCGUAUAUUCAUCCAAUUCAAUCCAUUUUGAGCUAAUAUGGGUUGAUUUACGAAUUUUUUGGUACAUAAAUAAAUAUACGAUUAUCUAAUCAACAUGAAUUUUAUCUGAUUCAAUCAAAUUCUGCUGCAAAAUGAGAAAAAUAUGAACAAGAAAACAAAAUUUUUUGAAUAGGCAAUUGCACCCCUUCUUAAUCAUAAGAUACUUAAAUCAUAAAUCAUGAUAACUAACAAAUUGUAACUUAUAACGAAUUCUAUAAAAUAAUUCUAUAAAAAAGAGCCAAAGCAUUUUGUAUAAGGGAUCUCUCAUCAACUUAAAGUAAAGACAAUGUUUUCAUUACAAAAAAUCACAAAUUAUCCAUAUUAAAAAAGAAAUUAAUUUGCGAACAAAAACAGAAACUCGUAUUUUUUUUAAAAUUUUUUGGUAACAUUAAAACAAAAACUCUUAAUAAUAAAGUACAAAAAGAAGCCAAUAAACUAGCAUAAAACGACCCUUGGCUCUAUUGCUUUCGUUUAAAGGAUUAAGAAACGAAGUAUAAAAUUCAAUAGAUAAAAUGUACUUUGAAGGGAUAAAAGAGGAAAAAGAAUAAAAUCACAUCCAAGUAAAUAUUUGGACAUUUUGAAGAAAAAAGAAGAAGAAAUAAUUUAGAUAAAUAAACUAAUUGAUGGGUUGCAAAGGAGGAAGAGUGUAAAUACAAUUACUAAGCUGCUCGGACUCGAGUGCGGGUGUCCAUACGGGUGCGGAUCUAGAGGUCGGAUCCUUCAUGAUCUAAUUUUUAAGCUUCGGGGAUAUGGAUCCAUGUACGGAUAUGGGUGCGGGGAUUCGCCUAUAAAUAAUUAAAAUAUCUAAAAAUAGAGUUAUAAAACCUAAAUUAUGACAUAUUAUGUGGAGAACUUGAGAAGAAUCACGAAAGGAAAUUAAGGAAAAUGAGUGACAUAAAAAUUUCUAUAUAAAAGGUAUUCUAUUUUCUUCAAUUUCACCUUUAGCUUUUGUAUUGAGCAUAGCAAUCAUUAAAAUUGUCCAGACUUUCUCCAUCGAUUUUGGUCAAAGUACCCAAAAUCCGUUGACCAAAUCAGACACAGAUCCCACACCCACACCCAUGUCGUGUCGACACAGGCGGCACCAAAAGUGAAGAGUCCGAGCAACUUAGAAUACAAAAAAAACACUAUAAAGGAAACAAAUAAAGAAAGAAAGGAUAUCCCUAGUAUGUUAGAGUCCUUAAGGAGUUCAUAGGAAAACAACAUCACUUUUGUAUUUCUGAUUGUAAGUAUUACUGGAAUACGUCCUGAGUAUUCCUGUGUUUAUAAUACAAGUUACCUUUUCAAAAAAAAA